This 839-nucleotide long non-coding RNA is filed under the name Androctonus crassicauda. Lineage: Eukaryota; Metazoa; Arthropoda; Arachnida; Scorpiones; Buthidae. The record is from RNAcentral.
GUGCGUAUGGAUAAACCACGAUUUUAUUUAUAUUUAUGCUAACGAACUAUGUAGCGAUAAGGGCAUGAGAUGUAAACAUGGAAAUCUGAGUGAGAAUUAAAAAAGGAACCACUAAAAAGGCCGUUGUUCUACCUACAUGAAGUGGUCCUUAUAACAACUAUAACAGGCUAUCAUAGUAUCGAAUCUGCCUUUGCUUCUACUGUCUGUCACCAGUGACAACUGCGUUAGUCAAGUGGCAGACGGAAUGCGGCAGAAUGAUUAAAAGUUCGAGACAUUUUUAUGCAAAACCCUUGGCGCCUAUCCAAAGAUCUCAAUUCGUCAAUAAAAACUUCGUUUAUGGAAUAAACGCCGGAACUUAAAAUGGAACAGAUGUCAUGUCGUUCGGGUUUUAGUUUCGUUAAUUGCCGAAAGGAUGCGUCUUGUAAAUCUGUCGCCGUUGCACGAAUUAAAAGUGGCAAUUUACGCGAAUGCCAAAAUUUUUAUCGUUUUGCUCUUCCUCGCCAGUUUAUUUCGUCGCUGUGCUUAAGAUAACAAGAAGCUUCGAACGUUUCGCCUGGAGUUAUGCAAAGUUUCGAGUGUUGUCGAUGGAUUUUAGUCGUCGUCUUCGAAAGUUUGCAAACAGAAACAAAAGAAAAAUAUAUCGUGGUGGAGUCCGAAAAUCUAACUUGAAGAUUGAUUGCUUUGCUGAAAGUCAAAUCGAUCCAUCUAUAUAACCUUCUUUUUACCUGUACCGUAACAAUAAAUAAUCGAUACCAGAACGACGUUCUCUCGGGAUAACCGAAAUCUUAUAAAAAAAAAAAUCUACAAACAAUACCUUACCCUUAACAUCUGUAACUAGC